Molecule: ribosomal RNA, 663 nt
Filed under: Collemopsidium sp. s1307
Lineage: Eukaryota; Fungi; Ascomycota; Collemopsidiomycetes; Collemopsidiales; Xanthopyreniaceae
Description: SSU rRNA
Rfam family: Bacterial small subunit ribosomal RNA
Source: RNAcentral
UAGCGACUGAACCAGCAAUUUGGAGGAAUGUACAUAUGUAUUACAUAUAUUGAUUUAUUUAAUUAAAGUUCUAGAUAAAUGAAUGAUAAUGACAACUAUUUAUCUAUAAGUCUUGACCAAAUCUUGUGCCAGCUGUCGCGGCAAGACAAGAAAGACUGCGUUAAUCAUCUUUAUUAGGUUUAAAGGGUACCUAGACGGUAAAAAUCUCUAAAAAAUAGUUAUUUACUAGAGUUAAUAUAGAAAGAGGAUAGAAUUAAUAGUGUAGAGAUAAAAUUUAUUAAUACUAUUAAUACUGGUAAAGGCGAAGGCAAUCCUUUAGUAUUAACUGACGUUGAGGGACGAAGGCGUGGGUAGCAAACAGGAUUAGAUACCCUAAUAGUCCACGCAGAAAAUUAUGAAUGUCAUAGACUAAUGGUCUAUAAAUGAAAGUGUAAGCAUUCCACCUCAAGAGUAAUGUGGCAACGCAGAAACUGAAAUCAUUAGACCGUGGCUGAGAUCAGUAGUGAAGUAUGUUAUUUAAUUCGAUAAUCCGCGAAAAACCUUACCACGAUUUGUAUAUUUAGGGAUACAAGUGUUGCACGGCUGUCUAAAGUUAAUGUCGUGAGAAAAACCAAGUGUUGUUUAAAUUAACGUAAACCCUUAUUUUAUUUAGUUUAAUAAAAU